This 405-nucleotide ribosomal RNA is filed under the name uncultured bacterium. RNAcentral describes it as "bacterial SSU rRNA". It matches the Rfam family "Bacterial small subunit ribosomal RNA", at positions 32 to 417 of the family's 1533-position model. The record is from RNAcentral.
AAUCAACGCUGGCGGCGUGCCUCAGACAUGCAAGUCGAACGCGAAAUUCCGAGCAAUCGGGAAAGUAGAGUGGCGCACGGGUGAGUAACACGUAGGUAAUCUACCUUUGGAUGGGGAAUAACAACCGGAAACGGUUGCUAAUACCGCAUAAUGCAGCGGCACCUAAUGGUGACAGUUGUUAAAGCGGGGGAUCGAAAGACCUCGCGUCUAAAGAGGAGCCUGCGGCGGAUUAGCUAGNGGUAAGGUAAUGGCUUACCAAGGCUACGAUCCGUAACCGGCCUGAGAGGGCGGUCGGUCACACUGACACUGACAUACGGGUCAGACUCCUACGGGAGGCAGCAGUCGGGAAUUUUGGGCAAUGGGCGAAAGCCUGACCCAGCAACGCCGCGUGAAGGAUGAAAUCCC